This 1573-nucleotide long non-coding RNA is filed under the name Meleagris gallopavo (turkey). Its description in RNAcentral is "lncRNA (ENSMGAG00000021521.1)". Lineage: Eukaryota; Metazoa; Chordata; Aves; Galliformes; Phasianidae. The record is from RNAcentral.
CGUGAGGGACCCUCUGGGAGGCCUGUUGAUACAGGUUUGUCAGUGGAACAGACAGCUCACUGUGGCUUCCAUUUACAAGCUUCUUAAACUAGCUUCUAAACUAGCUUUUAACAAAGAAAAUGUGUUAAAGUACCAAUAAAACUGCUCUAAUAAGCCCUCCAUAGCAAACUCCUAAUUGAAGCUCAUAAAGAGAGCUCUAAACAGUAUUUAAAGUGCAAAGAAAACAUAUUGGUCCUCAAUGCAAACAAGUAGAUGUAGUGCUGAUGCAUUUUAUUUGACCAACAUGAAAGCUGCAGAACACAAAAAUGUAGGUAUGGGAUGUGUGUGGUUAGAAAGCUGGUUAUUGGCCUUACAAUCAGGUUUAAAAUCUCUCUCUACAACUGGCAAGGAGUUGUACAACAGCACAUCCAACCUGCCCUCAUCCAGAAACUUGUAAAAAUGCUUUAUCACUUAUUCCCUUUCUUAUAAUAACAGAUGUACCUGUACCUGAAAUGGGACAGUAGCAUUGCUCACUGCCUUGUGAUUUACUUCUGCAUUCCAUUGGUCCUGUGUCACAGUUUAGGCCCUUCAUGACAGCACAAAAACUUAAAUUACUCUGCACCGUGUUGAGGGCUUCCCAUGACCCUUCUUGACCCCUGCCAGGCACCUGCUUGCUGAAAGUAUCUCACUGACUGAGAUCCUCAGUCAGAUAACCAUCAGGCUCCUCCCCAACAUGGAGAACACAUGGCUUCUCCAUGGCUUAAGGGGAGAGAAGUGCAUACAAAUGGUAAAGUAGAGGAAAGGGAAAUUACAUUUGAGAAUGGUGUAUCUUGGAGAAAACAUGCCAACACAUAGCAACACAUCUCACCUCACCACAACGCCUAUAUCUUUGGGAAGCAAGCUUAGAAGCAAAUAUAUUCUCCUCCUGGUUGUAUAUCCAGCCACGAGCUCUACAAAACAGAGUUCCCAUCAACAGUUUGCAGCUGCCUGUUUAGCUCAAGAUGGAGAGCAGAGAUUAAGAACAGCUUAAUAGGAGAGAACACCUGGAGCAGAGCCUGCCAGCAGCUCCUGCGUUCCCAGAAACGGCUCCACAAAAGGAAAGGGCCAAAGGCAAUCUCCCUUUGACAGGGAACAGUGACAUGACCCUAAUUGCAAUGGGGAUUGUAGCCACCCUCCUGCUCUGCUCCACAGAGCUCGAUGGCUAUAAAGUUUUAUUUGUAUGACAUUUUGUUUUCCCAUUCUUGCAAAGUUCUGCAUUUGUUGACUUUGUGUCAGCUGAUGAAUUGAGUAUUAGCGAUGCUUUGGGUGAAAUCCUGGGCCCGCCAAGCAGGAGGGGAGUUAAAUUCAGAGGUUAUGAUUGAAUUUCCAUACCUGUUCUUUGUGUAUGACAGCUUGUGUGACCAGAUCUUGAGGUAAUUCACAAAGAGGAAAACACACCCUAAUUGUCACCCCAUCUUUGAGUAUGCUAGAUAUAUUUCACAUAUUGAAAACAGAGGAAUAGACUCCCUUGGAUGUGAAGAUCAUAUGACAUUGUGCAACAUUUUGUGGACAAAUCCUUGGCUACCUUCCGUAGGAAGUAUGUGUUAUAUUAUUU